CUCACCAACCGAGUAAAAAGCUUUCUGUAUGAGAUAGUUAUAUAAUAAUUUUUUGAAUUUUGUAGGAUUAUUUUCCAUUGUAAUAUUUUGCGGUAGCCUGUUAUAUAAUUUUGGCCCCAUAUUCUGGGGAAGCGAGGCACUAAGCUGAAGUCGAUGGGGAACUUGCCUAUGUUGAGCGCUGGAUCUUGUAUUGUAAUUGUGGACGUCCGAACCAAUUUGGAUGGAACCGUAUUUGAAUUUGUAGUGCACAAGCAUUUCGUAAAUGUAUAGAGACGGGAGGGUCAAAAUUCUAUACGACUGAAAAAAUGUUUUACAUGACGCUCUCCUACGUACGCCGGCUAUUAUACGGACGGCUCUUUUUUGCAAAUAAAAUACUCGUAGAAACUCCCUACGUGACGCUGAGCCCCACAGUAUUAUACCAUACCGCAGCCUUGACUCGAUCAGGGAGGUGUAGAUUAGUCGUAAAAGAAAAUAAUUUUGAUAUUGAAAAUAUCUGCUUAGUAAAAACAAUUGUGAUGAUAAUUUUGAGCAUAGCAUGUCUAUGUGCUUUUCCCAAGUAAAUUUACUAUCAAAAACAUACUAAAUAGAUGAUUAAAUUUCUUAAUUUGAAAGUUGAAAAACAAUAUUGAGCGUAAAAAGUAAAAUUACUGUUAAUAUAAGUUCUCCAUAUUAUAUAAUUACUAGGUUAUUUUAACAAUGAAUUAUAAACAAUUCAUAACAUAAACUAUGAUGGUUGUAAAUUUGUAUACACAUUUGUGCCAAAAAGUUAUGAUUGGUUAAGAACAGUUUUUUUAAUUCAUAAAGUGAUGCAGUGAUUUAUUCAUUUACAAGAAUUUAAUUGAUAUGACUCGUUAAAAAGUCCAAAUCAUGUUCAGCACCUUAGUUUAAAAAAUAUUAUAUUGUAUUUUAAAUAUGUUGCACCAUUUUUGUUGUAUAUAGUUCAGUAUCAAUUUCACAUUUCUCCCAAAUUCUAUUUAGUUGUGUCAAUAAAAUGGCCUUCACUCACAACUGUGCCUUGUCAGUCCUAAAAUGAUUUUGUUAUUUCUUAUUGUAGACAAAGACAUAUUGUUAAACUUGUUUUCUGAUUUGUUCUAAAUGUGGUUUAUUGUAUCAAUUCAUAACAGAAAUGUACAUGGCUCUUUGUGUUAUAAACAAAAAAAAUUAAUAUACUGUAUUUAAUAUUGUAAAUUUAUGUAGGUUACUUUAUUUUGCUAAUUUUAUUGUUAAAUAUUAUUUUUAUUGUCAUGCCCAGUACUGGUGAAAUCAAUCACAUUUAGGAAAAUUUCAUACCAGAGAUUGCAGUUAGAGGUUAAUUUGUAAGUUGAUAUAAAAGUAGUAAUAGUGUGAACUGAUGUAACCCUUUCAUUGCCAAUCAACUACAUCCAGAAGGAUCUCACACCCUUGGUAGUGUAGGAUCUCACUCAGUAGAUUGGUGGUAAAAAGGUAAAAUAAUACCAAAUUUUUGAGAGAAGUAAUGUAAAUAUUUGUAUAGUAGUUAUUGUUAUUUUCACUUUAUUUGAAUCAAAUGUAUAGUGUAAAAUUACCAAAUUGUUAUUCGAUGGAAAGUUAUUAAUAAAUUUUGUUACUACCUAA
RNAcentral lists this long non-coding RNA (1593 nucleotides) under Homalodisca vitripennis (glassy-winged sharpshooter). RNAcentral's name for it is "uncharacterized LOC124360582". Lineage: Eukaryota; Metazoa; Arthropoda; Insecta; Hemiptera; Cicadellidae. The record is from RNAcentral.